Molecule: ribosomal RNA, 448 nt
Filed under: uncultured bacterium
Lineage: Bacteria
Description: partial 16S ribosomal RNA
Rfam family: Bacterial small subunit ribosomal RNA
Source: RNAcentral
CUACGGGCCGCUCCAGUGGGGAAUAUUGCGCAAUGGGCGAAAGCCUGACGCAGCGACGCCGCGUGAGCGAAGAAGGCCUUCGGGUUGUAAAGCUCUGUCAGGGGGGAAGAAGGUGCUUGCACUGACGGUACCUCCAGAGGAAGCCCCGGCCAACUACGUGCCAGCAGCCGCGGUAAUACGUAGGGGGCGAGCGUUGUCCGGAAUCAUUGGGCGUAAAGAGCACGUAGGCGGCCUGUCAAGUCGGAUGUGAAAACCCGUGGCUCAACUGCGGGACUGCAUUCGAAACUGGCAGGCUGGAGUCCAGUAGAGGAAAGUGGAAUUCCCAGUGUAGCGAUGAAAUGCGCAGAUAUUGGGAAGAACACCGGUGGCGAAGGCGGCUUUCUGGGCUGAGACUGACGCUGAGGUGCGAAAGCGUGGGUAGCAAACAGGAUUAGAUACCCCCGUAGUC